GGAAUAUUGGGCAAUGGGGGAAACCCUGACCCAGCAACGCCGCGUGAAGGAAGAAGGUUUUCGGAUUGUAAACUUCUGUCCUAUGUGAAGAGGCAGAGACGGUAGCAUAGGAGGAAGCCCCGGCUAACUACGUGCCAGCAGCCGCGGUAAUACGUAGGGGGCGAGCGUUGUCCGGAAUGAUUGGGCGUAAAGGGCGCGUAGGCGGCUUGAUAAGUCUGGAGUGAAAGUCCUGUUUUCAAGAUGGGAAUUGCUUUGGAUACUGUUAAGCUUGAGUGCAGGAGAGGUUAUCGGAAUUCCCAGUGUAGCGGUGAAAUGCGUAGAGAUUGGGAGGAACACCAGUGGCGAAGGCGGGUAACUGGACUGCAACUGACGCUGAGGCGCGAAAGUGUGGGGAGCAAACA
Molecule: ribosomal RNA, 401 nt
Filed under: uncultured bacterium
Lineage: Bacteria
Description: bacterial SSU rRNA
Rfam family: Bacterial small subunit ribosomal RNA
Source: RNAcentral